GACUACAGGGGUAUCUAAUCCUGUUUGCUCCCCACGCUUUCGUGCCUCAGCGUCAAUCAAGGUCCAGCAAGCUGCCUUCGCAAUCGGUGUUCUAUGGCAUAUCUAAGCAUUUCACCGCUACAUGCCACAUUCCGCCUACCUCAACCUGAUUCAAGCACGACAGUAUCAAUCGCAGUUCCGCCGGUUAAGCCGGGGAAUUUCACAACUGACUUAUCGCGCCGCCUACGCACCCUUUAAACCCAGUGAUUCCGGAUAACGCUUGCACCCUCCGUAUUACCGCGGCUGCUGGCACGGAGUUAGCCGGUGCUUAUUCUGAUGGUACCUUCAAGCCCCGAACACGUCGAGGUUAUUAUUCCCAUCCAAAAGCAGUUUACAACGCUGAGCGCCUUCAUCCUGCACGCGGCAUGGCUGGAUCAGACUUCCGUCCAUUGUCCAAUAUUCCUCACUGCAGCCUCCCGUAGG
Molecule: ribosomal RNA, 462 nt
Filed under: uncultured Saprospiraceae bacterium
Lineage: Bacteria; Pseudomonadati; Bacteroidota; Saprospiria; Saprospirales; Saprospiraceae
Description: partial 16S ribosomal RNA
Source: RNAcentral